This 107-nucleotide small RNA is filed under the name Marmota monax (woodchuck). The record is from RNAcentral. Lineage: Eukaryota; Metazoa; Chordata; Mammalia; Rodentia; Sciuridae.
GCCAGGUGCAGUGGCGCACGCCUGUAAUCCCAGUGACUCAGGAGGCUGAGGCAGGAGGAUCACAUGUUUGAGGCCAGCCUCAGCCUCUCAAUGAGACCCUACUUCAA